RNAcentral lists this ribosomal RNA (253 nucleotides) under uncultured bacterium. RNAcentral's name for it is "partial 16S ribosomal RNA". It matches the Rfam family "Bacterial small subunit ribosomal RNA", at positions 524 to 776 of the family's 1533-position model. The record is from RNAcentral.
UACGUAGGGGGCAAGCGUUGUCCGGAAUCAUUGGGCGUAAAGAGCGUGUAGGCGGCUCGGUAAGUCCGCUGUGAAAGUCCAGGGCUCAACCCUGGAAAGCCGGUGGAAACUGUCGAGCUCGAGUCCGGAAGAGGCGAGUGGAAUUCCUGGUGUAGCGGUGAAAUGCGCAGAUAUCGGGAAGAACACCCGUGGCGAAGGCGGCUCUCUGGGACGGUACUGACUCUGAGACGCGAAAGCGUGGGGAGCGAACAGG